This is a long non-coding RNA of Cicer arietinum (chickpea), 499 nucleotides long. RefSeq lists it as uncharacterized. The record is from RefSeq and is a predicted model, not a curated record. Lineage: Eukaryota; Viridiplantae; Streptophyta; Magnoliopsida; Fabales; Fabaceae.
UUAAACAGCUAAAAGAGUUUAUUUAUAGUGACAUUGUGUGGAAUAGAAAUGAGAGGAAAAAUGAUGAGAAGGUUGAGAUUCUGUUGCGAAGGGGUUGACAUAAUAAGCCUUACGGCAGAGCCAAAGAAAAAAAUUACAAUUAUUGAAAACAAAAAAACAGAGCAAUGGAGCAAAGCUAGUGAUGCAACUGUGAUUCCUCCAAAGAGAAAGUGUGUGAAGAAUAUGGUGUGUAAUUGUUUUGUUAAUUGCAUCUGUGCCAAGUGCUUGAAGAUCAACACCAACACUAUUUCACCUCCAUCACACCCAGCCAACUAUAUAAACAAUAAGCCAACACUUCGCUCGCGGGUGCCAUGAACAUGGGAAUCGAUAUCGUUUUUAUUGCUUGAUGCUUUCAAUAAUGAACAAACAAAAUGAAAAAAAAGAGUGAUUGACUCAUUGAUAUCAUUGUAACUUUCUACUGUAACUUCAUCGUGCUGGAAAUUUAUUUUUAUCGCCCCUA